This is a non-coding RNA of Triticum urartu, 912 nucleotides long. Lineage: Eukaryota; Viridiplantae; Streptophyta; Magnoliopsida; Poales; Poaceae. The record is from RefSeq and is a predicted model, not a curated record.
CCUGCCGGUCCAGUUGUCCCUGAUCCGAACCGCUCUGUGGAUGCAUCUCUCAACGUGUCCCGGGUGGGUGGAAGCGCAGGCAGCACCAUCCAGCUGUAGUGCUGUACGUGAUGAAGAGUGGUCAUUGUAAACCAUGUACCUCCACUCGUGGCGGCAAUCAGGAGUUUUCCUCAAGGAGCGAAUUCUGCAAUCUGUACUCGUGGGAGUAUGGUGUUCGUAUCAGGAAAGUGUCACCAAAACGUCCCAGAGAUUGUUUGCAGUUGUGCAGGCAAGCCGGACAGGGAGAACAGUUCAUCCGCUAGAACAAAGUGCCCUGCGAUGCUAAGCCUGUUAAGGACGGAAGAUGGAGGCUGGUAUGGUAUUUAUGUGCGCACAGGGUGUUGCAUAACCAUGAAUGCCUCGGAACUUGUAGUGCACGUGGGCUUCCUAAUCUUGAAGUCUGAAGUGCCUUCACGACCGGAGCAAGCGCCACCCGGACCAGACUGGCAUUGCACUUGAGAUGGUGUUGUGAUGACCUCCUGAAGUAUGGUGAGUAUUGAAUAUCCCUUCUCCAUCUUUUUUUUUGUAGAAUAGAAGAUAUGCAUAUUGAAUCCCCCCCCUUUUUUUUUGUAAACACACAAAAGCUUUGCGCGUCAUACAUCAGAAGAUUAAACACAGUUAGAUAGAACAAGUUCCACUAGAAAAACUAGUCAAGAACAACAUCGGACGGGUCCGAUACAUCCCAACUCAAAUGCAAUACAACACCAAUUUAAAAUCUGAUGAGAUAUAAUGUCUUAUUCAAACUCAACCCAGAUGCGACUUGUAUCCGCCUUCCAUUUACACAACUCUUUAAAUAGCGGGCUAUGGCAUUUAGCGGCGACCCUUAAAAACAGCUAUAGCGGAGCUAUAGUGGCAAAUUGUACAUGAAAUCAU